UCCAUUUCUUUAUUACCCAUACUCCUUAUUUUAUUCUUCCACUAACAAAACAUGUUUCAUGACAUGUUUUACCCAUCCUUCCUUGUCAUGGCCGGCCACUACUCAUUAGGGGGGGGAAUUUGACAUGCAAGUCCCCCCCUUUGUCCACAUGCACUAAUAGGUCCUCACACAUUGACCUAUCACAUUUUAGAAUUUUCUC
RNAcentral lists this long non-coding RNA (199 nucleotides) under Gossypium barbadense (sea-island cotton). Its description in RNAcentral is "long non-coding RNA (GBAR_LNC001569)". The record is from RNAcentral. Lineage: Eukaryota; Viridiplantae; Streptophyta; Magnoliopsida; Malvales; Malvaceae.